Long non-coding RNA from Otolemur garnettii (small-eared galago), 78 nucleotides. RefSeq lists it as uncharacterized. The transcript is spliced from 3 exons. NCBI's taxonomy places the organism in Eukaryota, Metazoa, Chordata, Mammalia, Primates, Galagidae. The record is from RefSeq and is a predicted model, not a curated record.
CUGAUCUGUGAUCCAUGGGUUCAUUCCUCAAAUUCCUGAGACCAAGGACCUACUGAAGAUAAAAUUCUGGUCUCAAAC